This 364-nucleotide ribosomal RNA is filed under the name uncultured eukaryote. Its description in RNAcentral is "SSU rRNA". It matches the Rfam family "Eukaryotic small subunit ribosomal RNA", at positions 587 to 969 of the family's 1831-position model. The record is from RNAcentral.
AGCUCCAAUAGCGUAUAUUAAAGUUGUUGCAGUUAAAAAGCUCGUAGUUGAACUUCUGGCUAUUCUUCCAGCUGGCUUCGGUCGCUGUAAGAGUGGUCAUCCGCUUGGGAACUACGUUCGAACUUCACUGUUCGGCGUAAGGAACAGGCAUUUUACUUAGAAAAAAUUAGAGUGUUCAAGGCAGGCUAUCGCCCUGAAUACACAAGCUUGGAAUAAUGAAAUAGGACUAUUUCCAUUUUAUUGGUUAUUGGAAUUAGUAAUGAUUAAUAGGGACAGUUGGGGACAUUAGUAUUUAAUUGUCAGAGGUGAAAUUCUUGGAUUUAUUAAAGACUAACUUAUGCGAAAGCAUUUGUCAAGGAUGUUU